RNAcentral lists this ribosomal RNA (1187 nucleotides) under Capsicum baccatum. Its description in RNAcentral is "SSU rRNA". It matches the Rfam family "Eukaryotic small subunit ribosomal RNA". Lineage: Eukaryota; Viridiplantae; Streptophyta; Magnoliopsida; Solanales; Solanaceae. The record is from RNAcentral.
ACCUGGUUGAUCCUGACAGUAGUCAUAUGCUUGUCUCAAAGAUUAAGCCAUGCAUGUGUAAGUAUGAACAAAUUCAGACUGUGAAACUGCGAAUGGCUCAUUAAAUCAUUUAUAGUUUGUUUGAUGGUAUCUACCACUCGGAUAACCAUAGUAAUUCUAGAGCCAAUACGUGCAACAAACCCCGAAUUCUGGAAGGGAAGCAUUUAUUAGAUAUAAGGUCGACGCGGGCUCUGCCCGUUGCUGCGAUGAUUCAUGAUAACUCGACAGAUCGCACGGCCAUCGUGCCGGCGAUGCAUCAUUCAAAUUUCUGCCCUAUUAACUUUGGAUGGUGAUAUUUUCCAAGGAUGUUUUCAUUAAUCAAGAAUGAAACUUGGGGGCUCAAAGACGAUCAGAUACCAUCCUAGUCUCAACCAUAAACGAUGCCGACCAGGGAUCGGCGGAUGUUGCUUUUAGGACUCCGCCGGCACCUUAUAAGAAAUCCAAGUUUUUGGGUUCCGGGGUGAGUAUGGUCGCAAGGCUGAAACUUAAAGGAAUUGACGGAAGGUCACUACCAGGAGUGGAGCCUGCGUCUUAAUUUGACUCAACACGAGGAAACUUACCAGGUCCAGACAUAGUAUGGAUUGAUAGACUAAGAGCUCUUUCUUGAUUCUAUGGGUGGUGGUGCAUGGCCAUUCUUAGUUGGUGGAGUAAUUUGUCUGGUUAAUUCCAUUAACGAAAGAGACCUCAGCCUGCUAACUAGAUAUGCAGAGGUAUCCCUUCGGGGCCAGCUUCUAAGAGGGACUACGGCCUUUUAGGCCGCGAAAGUUUGAGGCAAUAACAGGUCUGUGAUGCCCUUAGAUGUUCUGGGCCGCACGUGCGCUACACUGAUGUAUUCAACGAGUUUAUAGCCUUGGUCGACAGGCCCGGGUAAUCUUUGAAAUUUCAUCCUGAUGGGGAUAGAUCAUUGCAAUUGUUGUUCUUCAACGAGGAAUUCCUAGUAAGCACGAGUCAUCAUCUCGCGUUAACUACGUCCCUUCCCUUUGUACACACCGCCCGUCGCUCCUACCGAUUAAAUAAUCCGGUGAAAUGUUCAGAUCGCGGCAACGUGGGCGGUUCGCUGCCCACGACAUCGCGAGAAGUCCAUUGAACCUUAUCAUUUAGAGGAAGAAGAAGUCGUAACAAGGUUUACGUAGGUGAACCUGCGGAAG